GAUACAACUCAUCCUGAGUCAAGGUUGAUGCCAAUUUUAAAAGGAACUCCUUGUACAAUGGCUUCAAGUCGUUGAAUGACAUUCCCUCCGGAUCUGCGGGAAAAAAUACAUUUUCAAAAAUCAGCAAAAGAUUUUUGAGGCACUUGUGAAUUUAAUAACACGUCAAUGAACCGGUUUUCAAGGAACCAGGAAAAUAUACACAAGUGUCAUUGGAAGACAAUCAGAAAUAGCGGUAUUCGAAAUUGGGAACCAAAUGAAAGUUAUAAUUGGGGAAAGAAAGAAACCGGAUUUUAGCAAAAAUAUCAACAUGCAAGAGGAUUGUUUUUAUCAACAAAAAGUGAGUCGUUUCUUUCGUCUUGGGACUUUUUCGACAAUGAGGGAUUUCUUCGUCUCAUCCUCGGUAGCACUUGAGAUGGAACUCUUCUUCGCCCUUGGCGGCCUAACCGGAUGUGGAGCCAUAGGUCGUGGUG
Leptopilina heterotoma is the source of this 470-nucleotide long non-coding RNA. RefSeq lists it as uncharacterized. NCBI's taxonomy places the organism in Eukaryota, Metazoa, Arthropoda, Insecta, Hymenoptera, Figitidae. The transcript is spliced from 3 exons. The record is from RefSeq and is a predicted model, not a curated record.